CAGUAGCCGCGGUAAUACGGAGGGUGCAAGCGUUAAUCGGAAUUACUGGGCGUAAAGCGCACGCAGGCGGUCUGACAAGUCAGAUGUGAAAUCCCCGGGCUUAACCUGGGAACUGCAUUUGAAACUGUCAGGCUGGAGUCUUGUAGAGGGGGGUGGAAUUCCAGGUGUAGCGGUGAAAUGCGUAGAGAUCUGGAGGAAUACCGGUGGCGAAGGCGGCCCCCUGGACAAAGACUGACGCUCAGGUGCGAAAGCGUGGGGAGCAAACAGGAUUAGAUACCCCUGUAGCCCUGUCUCUUAUACA
RNAcentral lists this ribosomal RNA (301 nucleotides) under uncultured bacterium. RNAcentral describes it as "partial 16S ribosomal RNA". It matches the Rfam family "Bacterial small subunit ribosomal RNA", at positions 509 to 809 of the family's 1533-position model. The record is from RNAcentral.